Bubalus bubalis (water buffalo) is the source of this 3759-nucleotide long non-coding RNA. RefSeq lists it as uncharacterized. The record is from RefSeq and is a predicted model, not a curated record. NCBI's taxonomy places the organism in Eukaryota, Metazoa, Chordata, Mammalia, Artiodactyla, Bovidae. The transcript is spliced from 4 exons.
UGGAGCAGCGCUGUGUUGGACAAACCGCAUACUUGUCCUGUGUUCUUAAAUCAUCUGGGGCAGAACCGUUGAUCCCUCGACGCUGAGAAUACACCGUGUACCCACGGCUGCGCCAUGCACGUCCCGGGUGGACGGGCGCCUCCCCAAGGCCGGGGAAGGGGCAGCCUUUGGAAAAGAACUCCUACGAAGAGAGGAGGAAAGAAGGGGUAUUGAUGGGCGCGCGCUCUGAGUGUGUGUGUGCGGGGGAGGUUUUUAAGUGUCGAUGGGAUACAUGAUCAGAGGUAUACGGAAGAAAAAUGGUGCCUGGAAUUACUAAAAUAAUUCAGCAAAGCGCUGCCACGUAUACUUGGAGAGCGCGUUAUGAAUAAACACCCAUUGCAUUUGUUGGGGGUGUUAUGCAUUCUGGGUGUGCGCAGCUUUCUCGACUGGGCACCUUCCACCCACAAUGAAUCCCCCGAUUGCUGCCAAAGUCUCAGAGGACCCCCCACUCCUGGCCCUGCCCGCGCAGACCUACACGUAUCUCCGCGGGGGCCAGCGUUCCUCUCCACCCCCCUCCUCCCCGCCGUACGCGCUAAUCCCUGAGAUCUUUCUGCGGGUUCCGAAGCUGGAGUAAGGGAGGAGCGCGCCUGCGGGUGCGCGCCGCGGGGGACCACCUCCGUCCGUCUACACCCCCAUCACACCCCCGCGCCUCUCUCUCGGAGUUCCCAAUUCCGCAGCCAGGUUUCAGAAAAGAGACGAAUCCUCUUUGCGUCCCGUGGCGCCGGUUUGCACCACUCUUGGGCUCCCAGGUUUGGGGAAAAAUCAAAGGCGCUAGACGGGAGGAUACAGCUCGGGGGAGGGGGCGCGAGCCGCGGGACCAGACUCCCCAGAAGAGGGAAGGGGGCGAGCCGGCGGAUCCUGCCUGAGGAGUCGGCAGAGUCCCGGGCACAGGAUGGUGAGAUUCAGAAUGCGUGACUUGUAUAAGGGGAAGCCAGCUACCAUGCUGUCGGGACACUCAAGAUGCCCUAUGGUGAUGCCAUUACAGAAAAGACCUGGCCAGAAGUUAGCACCAACUUGCCAGCCGUGUGAGGACCUGGGAUUUGCUGGGGGUGUUCGGGGAACUGAAGUACUGUUAUUGUUCUUCCUCUCACAAGCUGUGUGACCUAAGGUCAUGCUCAUGCCUGCUCUGUGCCUCAAUGGCUUCCUCUGUGUGAGGCUGAGAAUACCUGACAACCGGAGAUAAAAGAUCACAGGGCUUUGAGGUGCUGUCAGUGCUUCACCUAUUUGAGGUUUCAUUAUUAUUUUGCCUUUUAUAUUUAGAAUCGUUUUCUGGAAGAGGGGAGAAAAAUGGCUUAUCUGACAUUAUAAACACAUUAAAAGUCAAAUUAAAAAAACAAGCCCUUGCUGAUGACUGUUAAGCCAGUUUCUGUUAAUUGAAUCAUAUUUCCCCAUUGAUUUGCAUAAAGAAUGAUGAUUGGUUUCCAUGGGGGCAGGGGGCUUGCAACAAUGUGAAAUCACACUCAGAAGUGUAGAAAAUCUUUAAGCAGUUAUUUUAAAUACCAAAAAAAAAAAAAAAGGCCAUAAAUAUGAAUGUAACAUGCCAGUGAACAUACUGGAUUCUUGGAAGAACGUUCCAUGUGUGCGGUGGGGCUGCAUGCUUUUGGAGGGAGUGGGGAGGGGUCCCCUUAGGUAAUUAGGAGAGCCUCCCAAUCCUGAAGGAAGUGAAAUCCUUCCACUCAUCAUGGGAAGAUUUUUCUCAGGGAGAGAAAUGUUGGAUUGGCCAGAAAUUUGUUCUUUUUUUUCCAUACCAUCUUACGGAAAGAUCCGAACGAACUUAUCGGCCAACCCAAGAGCUGUGAAUAAAUCAGGGUUUGGUUGGGAGAACAAGAGCUACUCUGUAGAUUCUAGGGAAAAGGGUUCUACUAAAAGGAAUUAGGGGCAAGUAAGACUGUUGGAACAGCUAGAGGAGGAAAACUACCAUGGCUGGUCUUAGCCUGAAGCAGCCAAAAGGUUCUCAUGAGCUCUCAUUCCCAAGUGUGUCUGGGAAGCGACAACCCGAAGCUCCUGGGCUCCAGCAGAAAAGCAGGUGUUCUCAGGAGCCCUCUGGGAAGCUGCUGUGAAUCUCACAGCCUGGCUGCUACUCCCUCCUCCGAAGCAAACAGUCCCUCCUCCCCUGUGCUUUCCAGGAUUGGGUCUCUCACUGGCCAGCUCUCCCCAGGAACCACACAAUGAAAGGCAAUCCAGGAAAUGAGCCCGGCUCUCUUUAUGCAGCCAGGAGGUGAGCUUUGCAGGGAGAGAAAUGAUGCUGAAUCUUUCAAGACAUCUCCACACAAGGAGAAAGCCAAGGCUCCCUGUGUUCCUAUUGCCCGUGUCAUCUCCAUGGAGCCACCAGCAAGGUUAGGAAGCAGGUCACAUUCGUAUUUUAACCUUUAAAAAAAAUGAUAAAAACAAAGCUCAGAAAAGUUAAAUAGCCAGCCCAGGGCUAUGCAACUGGUAUGUAGCCAUCAGGAUUCAAACCUAGAUCUACAUAAGGGGAAACCCCAUGCUCUUCUGGUAUUUUUUUACAGGUUGGCUGGUGGUUCAAACAUUUGCUGUAUCAGAGUCACCUGGAGGAAUCACCCCACCCCCAGAGUUUCUGAGUCAGAAGGUCUAGGGUGGGACCUGAGAUUUGAGUUUCUAUUAAGUUCCCAGUUGAUGCAGCUGCUGUUGAUCUUGUGACCACACUUGGAAAACUCCAGAGCAGGAAGGCAACCCUGUUGUUCUCCAUCUCAAUCUGCUGGUGCUCAGGUCAGGCAGAUCCCAUAAAAUACCACAUUGGCUUGAAUACUUUUCACUGCCCUUGCCUAUGGCUCCCAUCAAGUGGCCUAAUUGCUAUGCUUGGUUAUGUGGGUGUGUGUGUUAGCUGUACAGCCUUAGCCUGUAAAUCACACAGCUGAAUGAAAAUGAAUGGGCUCAUAUUUCUGAGUGCCACCUUAUUUGGAAGCCAAUGAGGAUCCCGGGUACUAUGCAUAUGUUCCUGAUUGAACCAGAAUACCAAAUGAAACUUUAAAGCUGAUUAUUUAUUAUUUCAUUGUGAGUUUUUUUUUUUUUUUUAAGAAAUCAGCAUUUGAUAAGUAAAUGGCCCAAAUCUUGCUCUGGCAUUCACAGAAGUCACAUUAGUCUUGAUGAAUUAUUUGCUUACUCAUUGAAUAUGUAAUUUAAUUCAAUAGAAAUUGCAUGGCAAUUUAGCACACAUUAAUGAACAGAUACUAUCUCACAGCUUAAUGAACCUGUCAUCCUUUUAAGGUAGGGAAAAUAUUUAAGGAAUUAACAAUCAACUAGGAAGAAGGCUGUUCAGAUAUUCAAUGGGUUUAACCAACUUUUAUGAACUCUUUCAGGUAGAGAUACACAGAUUUCAAACACCCAGUUCAAUACAAGUGGGUAGCUGCUAGCUGUCUUUGGAGAAAGUCAGGAAGACCCAAGUGUGGACCCAAGCAAUGCCUCUGACUAGCUAGAGGAUACUAGCUUGUCACCUAGUCUCUGGGGUCCUCACCUGUCAAAUGGGGUUUCUAAUUCUUAUCUUCCAGGAUCACUGUGAAGAUUAAAUGAGAUAAAAAAUGGAUGUAAAGGUUCUGAAAUGUUGAUUCUCAACACAUGACUAUUAUUAUUAUAAUGUUACUGCUUAUCUGAGCAGUGAUGUUCUCCUUCUUUUCUUUCUUUCUUUCCUUCCUUUGUUCCUCUUGUCCUCUCUCCCUUCUUUCCUCCAUUCAUGUAUUAAAUAAAUGUUUCUUUUUCUUUUGU